RNAcentral lists this long non-coding RNA (321 nucleotides) under Panax ginseng (ginseng). Its description in RNAcentral is "long non-coding RNA (PGIN_LNC001936)". The record is from RNAcentral. Lineage: Eukaryota; Viridiplantae; Streptophyta; Magnoliopsida; Apiales; Araliaceae.
UGCCAAAGUAGACUUCUAUGACUUUAAAUGGAUAAACACUCAGCUCCCGACGGAUAAAAGAUAGCUAUAUGUGAGCUAACUAGUGUUUAGAAGUGAGGAAACACUCAAAAGAUGUAUAUGCAGAGUAAAAUGGACAGGGCUUCCUCGCCUUUUUCUCCCCCUCUUCUUCUCAAAUGGCUGACCCCAAGGCCUGUAUAUAUAGACGGAUGGCCGCAGGUACACCUGCGGCUGGUCGUGAUGCAUCCGAGCCUCGCGGGUCCCGUCGUUUCGUAGUACGUGCACUCAUGCACUAUAAUAUCCGCUCGAACUUGCAGAACAUCA